GUACCCGGUACCCCAGACCCGAGGGUCUGGACUUGGGAGCGUGAACUCUCAACCCAAGUCUGCCCAGUCCCUCGGUCCCUCUCUGAAGCCCGGAAUCCCCGCUGUCCAGUGCCUCGGCCCUGGCUGGGGAGCGGGAGGUCGACUAGCCGGAAGGGUCGGGCGGAUGGAGCCUCGGAGCAGCCAGAGUGGUGUACGGCCCCGCGGAAGGUUUAGUCCCCGCCGCCCGUGUAGACCCGAGCGGCUGCAGCUUUCCGUGUGUCCGGAAACCUGAGAUCUCUGCCUGGAGCUCUGGAGGCGAGACGGCUCCGUGCCUCGGCAGGGAUCGGAACGCAGGGCUCGAGCGACCACAGUUCUGGGUGUGAGACAGAGACCCAGAGAGAGGGAAAAGCAAAGCGUGUGGUUGAAGGAAGGGCGUGCUUGAAGGGGACUGGGAAAGAUCCUCUCUGGGUCCAAACGGAGCCUCUGGCUUGUGAGAACCCCUAGCCAGGUUCUAGAUUAAGGGCUGGGGGUGGGCCAUUUUGGCCCGGGGUCCUAUGAGCCCCUGGACGCUCGGAGCCCCUCACUCACCCAGGCCUCCCGCUCUCCCCAAAGCCUCCUUCAGCGUGUCUGUCUGAAAGGUGUACAAUUGGCCCUUCAAGAGGUGGGCGUGGGCUCGAUUAGCAUUUGCCAGGAGUCCCGCGUGUGGGAUUUGCAUACUGAUUUGCAUACAGUAAUAAUGAUUAACAACAGUGCCACUCCCUGGCAGACCGGGGAAGAAUUCAGGGAAGGCCUUGGCAUUGCUUCCACCUUCCUCCUCCCUUCCCUCAGGGGAAGAGCUAAUUUUCUCAUUAUUGCUCUGACCCCUGGGAAUUCCUCUGACUCUGGGUGGGCAGGUGCAGGGAGGGGCAGUUUUCCCUCAGCCCUCCAGCCCCAAGUCCAACUUGGGAGAGGUAAACCCAGUACUUUAUUUCUGCCCAGCUUUGAACUCCCCGGCUUUCCCGUCUUUGUUUUGCAUCUUGUAGGUAGCUCAGGGGCGGACCCUGCCCUAGAGUAUGGAGGUUUCCAGGAACAGUUAGCUGGGGGCAUCUUCCUCCUCCAAAACCUCUAACGCACUCACACACUUGGCCCCGUUCCUCGCAGGAUCACAGCCCAUCAUCUGCGUGAGGUCUGACCAUCACUGGUGCUCAAAAACGCUUGUGGAAAGAACUAGCACAUCCCUGAGGUAGCCCAGACACUCCUUCUCUGGCCCCGGGAAAAGGUUCUUUGAAUCACCGAAGAGGAUCAUCCCUGCCUUCUUUGGACACAUGGUAAAUAAAACCCACACACUCACGAGAUGAGAGUUCCAGCUUUAGGGAAGGCCACAGUUCUUUUGGGCUGAAGAUCACAGACUUGUUUAUCAUCUUCGGGGGUAAAAUGAACAGGUGCAUGAGACCCUCCAGGGUUCUGUCCUUCCUGAGAUUCUCCAGGUUGACCACAGCUGGCUGACCACAGCUGGCAGGCCCGCAUAAAAUCCCCAGAGAACAAGGCCGUUGGUCAUUGGCCCGGCAGCCCAUACAGUUCCUCUGGGUUUCUGACUGGCUUCUGGAGCAGGAGGGGACUGACCACUAUGACCCAGCUUGUCAGCCUCCUGGGAAUCUUCUCUGCCUGCCUUAGACUGGUGCCUCGACCUGGAAAAGUGCUCAUAGCAGAGAAAUGGACAAGGGCCAGAAGGAGCAGGAAUUGUCAUCACAUCCUCAUCAUCAUGAAAUUGAUACCGAUAGCAAUGAUGCAGUGGCAACAAACUCUUGCCUGGCAUUUAAUAAGUGCUACUCACUAUGCUAACACCUUAUAAGCAUUCUUCUUUUUUUUUUUCCAGUCCUUACAGCACUCUUAUGAGCAGCUACUGUCAUCCUCAUUUAUCAGAUGAAAAAAACCAAGGCACAGAAAAUCUUCAGCAAUUUGCUCAAGAUCAUUAGCUGAGUUGGGAUUUAACACCAAAGAAUCUGACUCCAGAGCUCCUAGCCUUCAAUGUUACUCCACGGAGAGGAGCAGAAGGCCAGCUGGUACCCUGCCCAUCCAUGGAAGGACAUGGUAGAAAAUGAGAGGCCAGGAGAAGGCCAGCACCUGUUCAGUGCUCUAACCCCCGCCCCCACCCAGGUCUCUCCAGCUGCCAGCAGGGAAGACCACCUGCUCCUCGGCAGGUUAGAGCUCUGAGGAGUCCCAGAAAGUGCAGAUGAGGGGGGGUGUUGGGUAGACGAGCUGGGGUGCCCCUUCCCCUAACCCUGCCCCUGGUCUCACAAAUAACGGCCUUUGGAUUACUGCCUGUGUUGGAUGCCUGGAUCACUGCUGUCUGGAGUCUAAUCUCCAUUCUGGUGGUUUUGGUUGCUAUGGUAAUUGAAUUCACUUAAAGUUGUCUCCAAGCUA
Long non-coding RNA from Phacochoerus africanus (Common warthog), 2382 nucleotides. RefSeq lists it as uncharacterized. The transcript is spliced from 3 exons. Lineage: Eukaryota; Metazoa; Chordata; Mammalia; Artiodactyla; Suidae. The record is from RefSeq and is a predicted model, not a curated record.